GAUGAACGCUGGCGGCGUGCCUAAUACAUGCAAGUCGAGCGAACGGACGAGAAGCUUGCUUCUCUGACGUUAGCGGCGGACGGGUGAGUAACACGUGGAUCACCUACCUAUCAGACUGGGAUAACUUCGGGAAACCGGAGCUAAUACCGGAUGAUCUUUUGAACCGCAUGGUUCAAUAGUGAAAGACGGUCUUUCUGUCACUUAUAGAUGGAUCCGCGCUGCAUUAGCUAGUUGGUAAGGUAACGGCUUACCAAGGCAACGAUGCGUAGCCGACCUGAGAGGGUGAUCGGCCACACUGGAACUGAGACACGGUCCAGACUCCUACGGGAGGCAGCAGUAGCGAAUCUGCCGCAAUGGGCGAAAGCCUGACGGAGCAACGCCGCGUGAGUGAUGAAGGUCUUCGGAUCGUAAAACUCUGUUAUUAGGGAAGAACAUAUGUGUAAGUAACUGUGCACAUCUUGACGGUACCUAAUCAGAAAGCCACGGCUAACUACGUG
Molecule: ribosomal RNA, 497 nt
Filed under: uncultured bacterium
Lineage: Bacteria
Description: partial 16S ribosomal RNA
Rfam family: Bacterial small subunit ribosomal RNA
Source: RNAcentral